Molecule: ribosomal RNA, 445 nt
Filed under: uncultured bacterium
Lineage: Bacteria
Description: partial 16S ribosomal RNA
Rfam family: Bacterial small subunit ribosomal RNA
Source: RNAcentral
GUAGGGAAUAUUGGGCAAUGGAUGCAAGUCUGACCCAGCCAUCCCGCGUGCCGGAAGAAGGCCCUCAGGGUUGUAAACGGCUUUUGACGGUGAAGAAUCGACAGGAUGCGUCCUGUUUUGACGGUAGCCGUUGAAUAAGCACCGGCUAACUCCGUGCCAGCAGCCGCGGUAAUACGGAGGGUGCGAGCGUUGUCCGGAUUUAUUGGGUUUAAAGGGUGCGUAGGCUGGAAGGUCAGUCAGCGGUGAAAAGCUAUCGCUUAACGAUAGUCUUGCCGCAGAUACUUCCGUUCUUGGAUGAGGAGGAGGCCACUGGAACGGAUGGUGUAGCGGUGAAAUGCAUAGAUAUCAUCCAGAACACCGAUUGCGAAGGCAGGUGGCUGUACCUUAAUCGACGCUGAUGCACGAAAGCAUGGGGAGCAAACAGGAUUAGAAACCCCAGUAGUCC